This 212-nucleotide long non-coding RNA is filed under the name Gossypium raimondii (Peruvian cotton). Its description in RNAcentral is "long non-coding RNA (GRAI_LNC008564)". Lineage: Eukaryota; Viridiplantae; Streptophyta; Magnoliopsida; Malvales; Malvaceae. The record is from RNAcentral.
GGGAAGAAGGGUUUUAUGGCAUUAAAGCUUGAUAUGAGCAAAGCGUAAGAUCGGGUUGAGUAGGGUUUUCUUAGAAUAAUGAUAGAGAAGAAGAGUUUUGAUAAAAAGUGGAUAGAAUUAAUCAUGAGGUGUAUUUCCUUGGUCUCAUAUUCGGUAAUUGUCAAUAGGAAGGUUGGCGAUGCUUUUAAACCGAGUAGAGGACUGGGACAAGG